GACGAACGCUGGCGGCGUGCUUAACACAUGCAAGUCGAACGGUAAGGCUCCAGCUUGCUGGGGUACACGAGUGGCGAACGGGUGAGUAACACGUGGGUGACCUGCCCUGCACUUCGGGAUAAGCCUGGGAAACUGGGUCUAAUACCGGAUAGGACCGCACCGUGAGGGUGUGGUGGAAAGUUUUUUCGGUGUGGGAUGGGCCCGCGGCCUAUCAGCUUGUUGGUGGGGUAAUGGCCUACCAAGGCGGCGACGGGUAGCCGGCCUGAGAGGGUGGACGGCCACAUUGGGACUGAGACACGGCCCAGACUCCUACGGGAGGCAGCAGUGGGGAAUAUUGCACAAUGGGCGGAAGCCUGAUGCAGCGACGCCGCGUGGGGGAUGACAGCCUUCGGGUUGUAAACUCCUUUCACCAUCGACGAAGGGUUUCUGACGGUAGAUGGAGAAGAAGCACCGGCUAACUACGUGCCAGCAGCCGCGGUAAUACGUAGGGUGCGAGCGUUGUCCGGAAUUACUGGGCGUAAAGAGCUCGUAGGUGGUUUGUCGCGUCGUCUGUGAAAUUCCGGGGCUUAACUCCGGGGCGUGCAGGCGAUACGGGCAUAACUUGAGUACUGUAGGGGAGACUGGAAUUCCUGGUGUAGCGGUGAAAUGCGCAGAUAUCAGGAGGAACACCGGUGGCGAAGGCGGGUCUCUGGGCAGUAACUGACGCUGAGGAGCGAAAGCAUGGGGAGCGAACAGGAUUAGAUACCCUGGUAGUCCAUGCCGUAAACGGUGGGCGCUAGGUGUGGGUUUCCUUCCACGGGAUCCGUGCCGUAGCUAACGCGUUAAGCGCCCCGCCUGGGGAGUACGGCCGCAAGGCUAAAACUCAAAGGAAUUGACGGGGGCCCGCACAAGCGGCGGAGCAUGUGGAUUAAUUCGAUGCAACGCGAAGAACCUUACCUGGGCUUGACAUAUACAGGAUCGCGCCAGAGAUGGUGUUUCCCUUGUGGCUUGUAUACAGGUGGUGCAUGGUUGUCGUCAGCUCGUGUCGUGAGAUGUUGGGUUAAGUCCCGCAACGAGCGCAACCCUUGUCUUAUGUUGCCAGCACGUUGUGGUGGGGACUCGUAAGAAACUGCCGGGGUUAACUCGGAGGAAGGUGGGGAUGACGUCAAAUCAUCAUGCCCCUUAUGUCCAGGGCUUCACACAUGCUACAAUGGUCGGUACAGUGGGUUGCCAGUCCGUGAGGGCGAGCUAAUCCCGCAAAGCCGGUCUCAGCUCGGAUCGGGGUCUGCAACUCGACCCCGUGAAGUCGGAGUCGCUAGUAAUCGCAGAUCAGCAACGCUGCGGUGAAUACGUUCCCCGGGGCU
Molecule: ribosomal RNA, 1343 nt
Filed under: uncultured bacterium
Lineage: Bacteria
Description: partial 16S ribosomal RNA
Rfam family: Bacterial small subunit ribosomal RNA
Source: RNAcentral